CACACCCAGGUUCCAGGACUAGCUCUUGGGCAGGACAGAGGGCAUCUCGGCUUGAGGGAGCUACAGAGUGGCUGGGGAUUCAGACACAGGCAUCAGGAAGUCACUUCUGUCUCCUCUCCCUAGUCAACUAGAAAUAUCAAAGGAGACCACCUGGGACCGCACCAAGACAGGACUAGAACUACUUGGGAACCCACCAAAUCACUGGAGAGUGCAAACACGUGUGGCUCGUGGACAGAGAGGAGCCUAAGGAGAGAUUCCUGGGGCUAAAGCCCAUAUCUACUCCUGACAGGCUGGUAACAGUCCCAGUUUACUGGUUGAGGCACCACCUCCAGCCUGUUUUACCAGCAAAAAGACCGCUGAAGGGAGGAGAGGACUCUCCUAAGGCUCACCAAAUGCAACUAAGCAUCUGGUGAAACUGCAGAGAACUGGACUUCGAUGCCCUAAAUAUAACAGCCCAAAUAUUCAAAUAUUCACUGAUUGGGUGACUGCCAUAAAACAGAAGGUUUGAAAAGCACAAGUUAUUAUUAUUAUUUUUUUUUACAAAGUCCCAAUUACAUAUGCCCAAUUUCACCACUCCCAGGAGGCUUCUUCAUUCAGACAGACGGACAGCGAGAGGGAGAGACCCCGCACACACAAGGCACACGUCCCACCCUGUGGGCUAUCUCUGUGGUCCUUCCUGACUUGAUAGGCCCUGCAGCAGGGCAGUGUUCAAAGCCGGGCGGUUUUUCCUGCUCCAUACUAUGCCAGUCAGGGUUUCUUCCUCUUCACCUGCAUCCAGGCUGGAAGGUGCCAGGAAGCUCUAGGGCCUUGUGGUGGCACACCCAGUAAAAGGCACAUGUUACCAUGCGUGAGGACCCAGGCUCAAGACCCUAGCCCUCACCUGUGGGGAGGGGGAGCUUCUUGGGUGGUGGAGUAGUGCUGCGGGUGUCUCCUCUGUCUUUCUCCGUCUUUCUUUCCCUCUCUAUGUCUCUCAGCCUCUGCCAGAAAUGGCCAUUGGGACGGUGGAGUUGCACAGGCAUGGAGACCCAGCAAUAACCCUGAUUGACAGGAACAGAGGAAGAAAGGACUGGGGAGAUAUGCAGAAGGACUUUCCUGCCUGAGGCUCUGAGGUUCCAGGUUGCAUCCCAGCUACAACCAUAAACCAGAGCUGAGCAGUGCUCUGGUAAUAAUACACCGAUUUGAGACAGGCAGAGAGACAGGUAAAACAUCACUCAGCCCCUCACUCACAGCCUGGCAUCACUAGGAGUCCAUGCUGAGCUCCUGCAGACGAGGAACACACUCCCCGUGGCUGGACCAGGAGCUGGGGAGCAUCGUUCCCAUCACACCCCAUCUGCAAAGCCAGCCUGUUGCCACAUGGCGGGAGAAGUCUGGCUCCUGGUGGAAGCCUGAACCUCCAGGACAGAUGUGUUGGUGCCCAUCUGCUGCACUAGAUGGGUGAAAAGGAGAAACAGAGGAAUUACCACCUUCCUUCUGAGUUCUGUUUAAAGAAAUAAAGACGUGAAGCCCUA
This is a long non-coding RNA of Erinaceus europaeus (western European hedgehog), 1508 nucleotides long. RefSeq lists it as uncharacterized. Lineage: Eukaryota; Metazoa; Chordata; Mammalia; Eulipotyphla; Erinaceidae. The record is from RefSeq and is a predicted model, not a curated record. The transcript is spliced from 2 exons.